AUUGAACGCUGGCGGAAUGCUUUACACAUGCAAGUCGAACGGCAGCACGGACUUCGGUCUGGUGGCGAGUGGCGAACGGGUGAGUAAUGUAUCGGAACGUGCCCAGUCGUGGGGGAUAACGUAGUGAAAAUUACGCUAAUACCGCAUACGAUCUAUGGAUGAAAGCGGGGGACCGUAAGGCCUCGCGCGAUUGGAGCGGCCGAUAUCAGAUUAGGUAGUUGGUGGGGUAAAGGCUCACCAAGCCGACGAUCUGUAGCUGGUCUGAGAGGACGACGAGACACACUGGAACUGAGACACGGUCCAGACUCCUACGGGAGGCAGCAGGGGGGAAUUUCGGACAAUGGGCGCAAGCCUGAUCCAGCCAUUCCGCGUGCAGGAUGAAGGCCCUCGGGUUGUAAACUGCUUUUGUACGGAACGAAAGGGCUCUGGUUAAUACCUGGGGCUCAUGACGGUACCGUAAGAGUAAGCACCGGCUAACUACGUGCCAGCCGCCGCAGUAA
Molecule: ribosomal RNA, 500 nt
Filed under: uncultured bacterium
Lineage: Bacteria
Description: partial 16S ribosomal RNA
Rfam family: Bacterial small subunit ribosomal RNA
Source: RNAcentral